Molecule: ribosomal RNA, 327 nt
Filed under: uncultured eukaryote
Lineage: Eukaryota
Description: partial 18S ribosomal RNA
Rfam family: Eukaryotic small subunit ribosomal RNA
Source: RNAcentral
CCCUUAGAUGUUCUGGGCCGCACACGCGCUACACUGAAGGAGGCAGCGUGUACUCCUGGAUCGAAAGAUUUGGGUAACCCGCGAAUGUCCUUCGUGCUAGGGAUUGAGGUUUGCAAUUAUCCUUCAUGAACGAGGAAUUCCCAGUAAGUGCAAGUCAUAAGCUUGCGCUGACUACGUCCCUGCCCUUUGUACACACCGCCCGUCGCUACUACCGAUUGAAUGAUUUAGUGAGGACUUCGGACUGGGACCGAUGCGGCUUUCGGGCUGCGUCGGUAUUCUGGAAAGAUGUCCAAACUGUAUCAUUUAGAGGAAGUAAAAGUCGUAACA